Beta vulgaris subsp. vulgaris (sugar beet) is the source of this 2664-nucleotide long non-coding RNA. RefSeq lists it as uncharacterized. The transcript is spliced from 2 exons. Lineage: Eukaryota; Viridiplantae; Streptophyta; Magnoliopsida; Caryophyllales; Amaranthaceae. The record is from RefSeq and is a predicted model, not a curated record.
UAGGGGCUGGUGCUGAUAACGUGUUAUAAAAUUGAGAGGAUUAUAGAGUAUUGAGAAGAAAGAUGAUGGAGAAGGUUAUAUCUUAUUCACCUCAUGGGGUACAUAUAUAUAUAUACACAAUGAUGGAAGAGUCUAGAGUUAUGUAAUGCGAAAAGUAAUGGGGAUGUUAAAGGUUAGGUAAUGUAAAGGGUUGGACAUCCACCUAUAAUUAUUCCAUGCAUAAUUAUUACAUAACAGGUUGAUUUUAAUUUUUUUUUUUUUUUUUUUGACCGAGGUUGAUUUUAAUUUUGGAAAAAUUAAAGUAACUCUCUACGGGGGCGUUCGGGAUUGUUGUGAUUUUGCGUGUUUCCGUUUUUUUCCAAAAAAUUAAAACAAAUCGUGUUCGACAAAUUACUCUUAAUAUAACAAGUUUUUGAGAUUUGCCUAUAAACAAAACGCUAAAGUACAAACCACAAAAACUGGUUUUGGAAGUUUUGAUUUAGAAAACUAGGUUUUAUAUGCACGCAAUGCGUGCGAAAAUACGAUGUAGAAAAAUUAAAUUAAUUGUUAACUAUAUCGAAUAAAUUAGGGAUACUUGAAUUGUUGAUGUUUUUCUUUUUGUAAUGUCUUUUUUAUUUUUAAAAUUAAUUAGAUAGUUUCUUUUUCUAUUUUUUAAUUAAAAUAUGUAGUUAGAAUGGAGAGGUAACGAGGGUAAAAUGGGGUUUCUAAUAUUUUGGUGUCCUACCCCUCUUCCCAUAUAGAAUAGAGAUUCCGCACCAUCCCGCAUAUCUCUCACUCCCUCUCUCUCUCCUCCCCCCACCCUCUCUGUUCUUCCAUUCUAUCACUCAAAUUUAUGAACCCUAAUCAUACUCAAGAGGUCAAAAUUCUUGGAGUUGUUUUCUAGUACAGGUUUGGAGACUUCUCUUCUCAUUUAUUUCAAUUUUUUUACAUCAAUUGUCUAUUAUUCUCUUGAAUUGUUACUUCUCAUUCUUGUAGAGAUACUUGAAUUCCUUGUUAUUAUUCGAAUUCUUCUAAAAUUUUGCUUUCAUUUUGAAUUAUUUCUAGUUCAUCAAUCUUAUUUGGUGGUUUAUUCAUCAAUUUGGGUGUAUCUCAUGCAAUUGAAUUCCUUGAAAAUUUGAUUUGGAGUUUUCAUGAAAUUUAAGCAUGUGAAAGUUUUGAUCUUUAAUGUAAUGCCACCAUCAACAAACUUCAUAUUAUAUCAUGAAUUUUCUUUUUUUCUUUUGAAGAAAGCAGCAAAUUGAUUGAUUAGCAAAGGGUUCAUUAAUUACUACCGAAAAAAAUAUAGUGUAUGUUCUUGGUUCACCAAAUUAUAAGCUAUUAACAUUGUUUGUCAUUAAUACUUCUCUACUCAUGGAACUCAACUUUUAUAAAGGUACAUAACAACGAUCAUUAGUAGGAAAAAAAUUGGAUAUUGUAGGUAAAUUGGAGUUUGUGGGUUGACAUUGAUUUGCAGGAGAUCAUUAUGCACAAUAUCUCUACUGAUCAAAAUUGAUGCACACAAAUCUUUUUUUUUCUUCUUUCGAUGGACAAAUAGUUACCAUUAGCUUUUUAUAUAUAUUUGUUGCAAUUGUUUUUUUCAUACAUGCGUCAGAAAGACAUAAACUAGGCUUGUGUUGCUUUUUUUUCUAUUUUAAUAAGUCAUUGUACUAUAUAUAUUUGUGUUUAAUUAGUUGCUAGAUGUCGAGUUUGAACAAUGAGGCUAUGGGUGAUGAUGAUGUUGUUGAGGUUGAGUCUAUUGGAGGACCCGGUGUAUGGAAUGAUAACAUUGAAUCUAUCUUGAUAAGCUUGAUAGAGGAUGAAGUGAAAAAAUGAUAUAGACCAACUACCACUCUUACCAAGCCAGCUUGGAGGUUUAUCAAGGAAAAACUAAAAGAGAAAACAAAAAAGGAUUAUAGUGAAGAACAACUUAAGAACAAAUACAAUCAAUUGAGGCAAAGAUGGAAGGACAUUAGUAAGAUACUGGAGGAGACUGGAAUUGGAUUCAAUGCGGUAACAAAUCAACUUUCUGCAGAGGAUACUGUAUGGAAGAAGUUGUAUGAGAAACAUAAGUCUGCUAGAAGUUUUAGAAAGAAAGGAUGUAAGCGUUAUAAUAAAUUAAACACAAUUUUUGGUGAUACAACUGCUACUCGUGCUAGCGCUCAUCCUUCUACUAAAAGCCCUUCUGAUAGUGAAGAUGAAGAUGACACAGAUGGAGAAUUGGGUGAUUCGGAAAAACAAUCUGAAGAGGGUCCUAAAGCCAAGAAAGCCAAGUCUAAUGUAAAUCCUAAGAAACUGAGAGAGAGAGAGUUAAUGCAGCAAUGGCAGAUGCACUAGUAGCUAUGAGUGAAAAUUCUAAGAAGAAGCUUGAACUUCUUGAGAAGAAGUUAAGUGCUUCAUCUACUAGCAUUCCCAUGAAUGAUAAUAAUGAUAGUGGGCAUCAAUUGAAGGAGGACAAUGAUGAUCUUCUUAUGGAAUGCAUUGAUACAUUAAGUGGUCUUGAAGGAAUUGAUGGGGCUUCAUUUGCAAAGGCGACUAAACUAAUACAUGAUGAUCCAACAUGGAGGAAAAUAUUCCUACGUUUGUCUGAUAAUAGAAAAAUUGAUUUUGUGCUUAACAUUUAAACAUUUGUUUACUCUUUUUAGUGUAUGUUUAGAUGAACUUAAUUUAUAUAUGAUCAUUUUAUUA